Hyaena hyaena (striped hyena) is the source of this 649-nucleotide long non-coding RNA. RefSeq lists it as uncharacterized. The record is from RefSeq and is a predicted model, not a curated record. Lineage: Eukaryota; Metazoa; Chordata; Mammalia; Carnivora; Hyaenidae. The transcript is spliced from 5 exons.
GCCCCGAGCCCCCGGCGGCCCGGAUGACGCCCGGCCGCCCGCGGUUCCACGGACGCCUGCAACCGCUGCCCCCUGCUCGUCCCCUCCCUGGAAACGGUGUCAUUCGACCUCCUCCUUCCUGGAGGACUCGUCCCGAAUCACUCCACCAGGUUAAAGGACUACUUCUCAGAGAGUGCUGACCACACAAACUGAGGAAGCCUCAUGCUCGUUACAGCAACAUCAGGCUGCACAGUGCAGUGAAAAUAGCAUGGUCAGAGGAAGGCGGACCCUGACCCUGAUUCCAUGACUCACCGCCUGUCACCUUGGAAAAGACGGAGAAUCUUCCUUCUGUUCCCAAAGGAAGUCCAUGGGGACAUACCAUGAAUAAAUGGUAUGGACGGCCGAAAAGCAACCUAAAAAUCAUGAUGGAGGGAUCGGACAUGGAAGCAAAGGAAUAAAUGGAAUGGUGCUUUGACAGUGGGGACCUGAAAGAGGAUUUUACCUCCAUUUUGACCUAUCUUUUAAACAAGAUAAUGAUCAACCUGAUCUUUACUGCCAACCUGCAUGUGCCCACCAACCUGUGUCCCAUACUCCUCUUACAUAAACUUGGAAGUAUUUUCAGCACUUUGAGAUAGUCUUUGAGAUGUUAGUUCACGGUCUUCCCAGUACU